Molecule: non-coding RNA, 107 nt
Organism: Gossypium arboreum
Lineage: Eukaryota; Viridiplantae; Streptophyta; Magnoliopsida; Malvales; Malvaceae
Source: Rfam
AUUCCAUAAUGAGGACACUUUCAUAAUAAUUCUUUGUACCUUUCCCAUGCCUCAUACAAGGACUCAUCAUCCGUUUGUUGGAAAACAAUGAUCUCAUUCCUUAACUU